Molecule: small RNA, 70 nt
Filed under: Arabidopsis thaliana (thale cress)
Lineage: Eukaryota; Viridiplantae; Streptophyta; Magnoliopsida; Brassicales; Brassicaceae
Description: ATSL265010
Source: RNAcentral
UAUUGUAUUGAAUGAACUAACGGAUGCGAUCAUACUAGCACUAAUGCACCAGAUCCCAUAAAAACUUCGC